AUGCAAAAUGACUCUCGGCAACGGAUAUCUCGGCUCUUGCAUCGAUGAAGAACGUAGCGAAAUGCGAUACUUGGUGUGAAUUGCAGAAUCCCGUGAACCAUCGAGUCUUUGAACGCAAGUUGCGCCCGAAGCCAUUAGGUUGAGGGCACGCCUGCCUGGGUGUCACAC
This 168-nucleotide ribosomal RNA is filed under the name Psophocarpus tetragonolobus (winged bean). Its description in RNAcentral is "5.8S ribosomal RNA". It matches the Rfam family "5.8S ribosomal RNA". From Rfam's summary of the family: 5.8S ribosomal RNA (5.8S rRNA) is a component of the large subunit of the eukaryotic ribosome. It is transcribed by RNA polymerase I as part of the 45S precursor that also contains 18S and 28S rRNA. The record is from RNAcentral. RNAcentral also lists the same sequence under 3 other names. Lineage: Eukaryota; Viridiplantae; Streptophyta; Magnoliopsida; Fabales; Fabaceae.